AUGGCGGACAGGCUUCAACGGAGAGGAUGGCCAAAUUGCGGCCUAUGCCAGUUAUGCAAGAGGCAGCCAGAGACGGCGGCACACAUCAUCUUCCGCUGUCGAUACACGGUACACAUUUGGACGGAGAUCAAGACUUGGAUGGGUUUGAUCGGUGUGGACAUCACCGACUGGAGUAGCUUCAACAGCGUCAACGAUUGGUGGCACCACAUGGUAGGCGUCAAUGGUAAUGUGAGAAAGGGCCUCACAUCUCUCGUCAUGUUGGUUUCAUGGGAGAUUUGGAACGAGCGGAAUGUGAGAGUAUUUAGGAUGGUGUCCUCCAUGCCAAAUGUAAUCACGUCUAGAAUCAAGGCGGAGGUCAGACUUUGGGGGUUGGCAGGGGCCAUACAUCUGAGUUCUCGUAAUCCAACCCAAAGCUCAUAG
This 420-nucleotide ribosomal RNA is filed under the name Triticum aestivum (bread wheat). RNAcentral's name for it is "partial small subunit ribosomal RNA". Lineage: Eukaryota; Viridiplantae; Streptophyta; Magnoliopsida; Poales; Poaceae. The record is from RNAcentral.